This 68-nucleotide transfer RNA is filed under the name Microrhagus sp. ZM-2022. Its description in RNAcentral is "tRNA-Val". Lineage: Eukaryota; Metazoa; Arthropoda; Insecta; Coleoptera; Eucnemidae. The record is from RNAcentral.
CAAAUUAAAGCUUUAAUUAGAAGUUUUUCUUUUACAUUGAAAUGAUUAUUAUGUUUAAUAUAAUUUGA